Molecule: ribosomal RNA, 1039 nt
Filed under: uncultured bacterium
Lineage: Bacteria
Description: bacterial SSU rRNA
Rfam family: Bacterial small subunit ribosomal RNA
Source: RNAcentral
AUACGUGAGGCAGCAGUGGGGAAUAUUGCACAAUGGCAGAAAGCGUGAUGCAGUGACGCCGUGUGAGUGAAGAAGUCCUUCGGGAUGUAAACCUUAGUAUGCAAGGAAAAGAAGAAGAUGGUACUUGCAGAGUAAGCCUCGGCUAACUACGUGCCAGCAGCCGCGGUAAUACGUAGGUGGCGAGCGUUAUCCGGAUUUAUUGGGUGUAAAGGGUGUGUAGGCGGGAUGGCAAGUCAGAUGUGAAACUUAUGGGCUCAACCCAUAAACUGCAUCAGAAACUGCUGUUCUUGAGAGUCGGAGAGGUAAAUGGAAUUCCAGGUGUAGCGGUGAAAUGCGUAGAUAUCUGGAGGAACACCGGUGGCGAAGGCAAUUUACUGGACGACAACUGACGCUGAGACACGAAAGCGUGGGGAGCAAACAGGAUUAGAUACCCUGGUAGUCCACGCUGUAAACGAUGAACACUAGGUGUGGGGGAGCAAUCCUCCGUGCCCCAGUUAACACAAUAAGUGUUCCACCUGGGGAGUACGGCCGCAAGGUUGAAACUCAAAGGAAUUGACGGGGGCCCGCACAAGCGGAGGAACAUGUGGUUUAAUUCGAUGAUACGCGAGGAACCUUACCCGGGCUCGAACGGUAUGUGAACGACUCAGAGAUGAGGAGGUCCUUCGGGACACAUAUCGAGGUGCUGCAUGGUUGUCGUCAGCUCGUGUCGUGAGAUGUUGGCUUAAGUGCCAUAACGAGCGUAACCCUUGUCGUUAGUUACCAUCAAGUAAAGUUGGGGACUCUAACGAGACUGCCACCGCAAGGUGAGAGGAAGGCGGGGAUGACGUCAAAUCAGCACGGCCCUUACGUCCGGGGCGACACACGUGUUACAAUGGCGGUCACAGAGGGAAGCUACCCUGCGAAGGGAUGCAGAUCUCGAAAAGCCGUCUCAGUUCGGACUGGAGUCUGCAACUCGACUCCACGAAGCUGGAUUCGCUAGUAAUCGCGCAUCAGCCAUGGCGCGGUGAAUACGUUCCCGGGCCUUGCACACACCGCCCGU